UCCAUUGCUCAGUUGGUAAAGCACAAAGCUCUUAACCUUGUGGACGUGGGUUCAAGCCCUGCAAUGGAA
Molecule: transfer RNA, 69 nt
Filed under: Triticum aestivum (bread wheat)
Lineage: Eukaryota; Viridiplantae; Streptophyta; Magnoliopsida; Poales; Poaceae
Also listed under: 1 other name
Rfam family: tRNA
About the family: Transfer RNA (tRNA) molecules are approximately 80 nucleotides in length. Their secondary structure includes four short double-helical elements and three loops (D, anti-codon, and T loops).
Source: Rfam by way of RNAcentral